RNAcentral lists this ribosomal RNA (506 nucleotides) under uncultured bacterium. Its description in RNAcentral is "partial 16S ribosomal RNA". It matches the Rfam family "Bacterial small subunit ribosomal RNA", at positions 30 to 523 of the family's 1533-position model. The record is from RNAcentral.
AUUGAACGCUGGCGGUAGGCCUAACGCAUGCAAGUCGAGCGGCAGCACAGGAGAGCUUGCUCUCUGGGUGGCGAGUGGCGGACGGGUGAGGAAUACAUCGGAAUCUACUUUUUCGUGGGGGAUAACGUAGGGAAACUUACGCUAAUACCGCAUACGACCUACGGGUGAAAGCAGGGGACCUUCGGGCCUUGCGCGAUUGAAUGAGCCGAUGUCGGAUCAGCUAGUUGGCGGGGUAAAGGCCCACCAAGGCGACGAUCCGUAGCUGGUCUGAGAGGAUGCUCCGCCACACGGGAACUGAGACACGGUCCAGGCUCCUACGGGAGGCAGCAGUGGGGAAUAUUGGACAAUGGGCGCAAGCCUGAUCCAGCCAUACCGCGUGGGUGAAGAAGGCCUUCGGGUUGUAAAGCCCUUUUGUUGGGAAAGAAAUCCAGCUGGCUAAUACCCGGUUGGGAUGACGGUACCCAAAGAAUAAGCACCGGCUAACUUCGUGCCAGCAGCCGCGGUAA